UUUGUCUGUGUGAAUAUAUAUAAAUAUAUCUGAGGCCUGUGCUAAAGAAGGAAAAAUACUAUGUGUUAAUGUCAUUCUGUUUAAUACACUUAUGUCGCAACAGAAAUCUCACAAUUAAAGUCAGCAAAUUGUUGUCUGAUUAGGACAUCUAAUUUUUGAAUUCAAAUGUUUUAUAAACUUGAGAUUACUGACAUGCAUCUUGUAUUCCUUCAUACAUACCUUUGUUUACUUGUGCGUUAAAUAAAGGAAUCAGAAAAUGGAAUGCAUGAGCUUGUAUUUUGACAAGAAGGAUCUGUUUAAAUCUUCCUCAAAGUUGCAUCGCAUAAAAUUUAAACCGAAAACAAAAGAAAAAAAAAACACAUUAGCUUGACUUUUUUAAAAGGCAAUGUUCUUGUUUUAUCUUUCAGCCCAAGAACUUGCCAGUCAAGAUGAAAAACUUCUUCUAAUGGAAUCCAGCUUGAAAGCUACUCAAGAGCAGCUAACUGAGCAAAUAGCAGAAACAGUUCGCCAAGAACAGAACAGUAGAAAACCCCAGGCAGAGCUGAAGACAGUGACAGAAGGGAUUAUUGCUUCUGAAGAAGAAAAAAAUGAUUACAAAUCUUCCAUUACAACUUCAUUGCAAAAGGUGUGAAAGAAGAGGGAAAUGAAAUUGGUAAAUAUUUUGAAGCCAGACUGAAAUAUUUGGCCAAGUUUCUAGAACAGUGGAACUAUUUUAAUCAAAGAAAAUCUUACUUAUGUGGCCAAAAAAGAAAAUAACACGAAUUGUACUCUUUGAAGUAGAGUUGAUAAACUUGGAAGGUGGAUCUCCCUCCCUCUCUCCGCAAUUCCCUGCUUUGGAAAGCACUGCCCUCUCCAGAAACCAUUGGAUCUGAAGAGUAUGUAUUGGAAAACCUCCCCUGAAGACCACAUGACAAACAACCAGAAGGUUUACACUACAGAAGACUGGAAAAUCAGAUCUGUGCGGGGAGACAAUGAAGACUAUGAAAACAAUUAGAAAAUAAGAAAAAGUUUGCAAAAAAAAGUCAUAAGGAAAGAAAUUGAAAAAGAUUUGAAAGCACGGUAUUUCGUUUCUGUUAGUUUGUUAGCCAAGCAAAAUUACACACAUGACACAGGCUUCUUUCAACUUGAUGUGCCGAAUGGACGUGGUUAUGUCAUUAAACAAUGCAACAAAAGGGAAAGAAACGUCGUGUUUUGCAGAUGAAGAAGAAAAAUAUUUGUUGGCUGGAGACGCUUGCAGAGUGUCUCCGGCAGAGAUGCGCCAUUGGCGUUUGAAAACAUGAGCACUCUGACUUGCUUUCUAUAAUGAAAAAUUUACUUACAUAACUUUAUGCUUUUUGAUCACUGUUCCAACAAGGAAUUGUGUCCUUGGAGGCAUCUAAUAAUCAAAGAAUUACCUCAUUCACACGAUAGAACAAUCACUGGAAAAUAUAAUGGCUAAUUGGGAUUCUUGAAAUUAAACGUGGUGGUGGUAUUACUUGUGAAAGGAGACUAAAUGGUUCAUGAUUUUAAUUUUAAUCCUAAAGAAUGACUUUCUAAUAGUCAUAAAUGCCUUUCUUUCAAAGAGGUGAUAGACUUCCUGAAAAUGUUCAGUCUUAAUAAGGAUGCCUAUUUGGCAUGCAUGCUUGUCAAGG
This 1631-nucleotide long non-coding RNA is filed under the name Felis catus (domestic cat). RNAcentral's name for it is "lncRNA (ENSFCAG00000047268.1)". Lineage: Eukaryota; Metazoa; Chordata; Mammalia; Carnivora; Felidae. The record is from RNAcentral.